This 465-nucleotide ribosomal RNA is filed under the name uncultured bacterium. Its description in RNAcentral is "partial 16S ribosomal RNA". It matches the Rfam family "Bacterial small subunit ribosomal RNA", at positions 29 to 507 of the family's 1533-position model. The record is from RNAcentral.
AUGAACGCUGGCGGCGUGCUUAACACAUGCAAGUCGAACGCUGAAGCCCAGCUUGCUGGGUGGAUUAGUGGCGAACGGGUGAGUAACACGUGAGUAACCUGCCCUUAACUCUGGGAUAAGCCUGGGAAACUGGGUCUAAUACCGGAUAGGAGCGCCUACCGCAUGGUGGGUGUUGGAAAGAUUUAUCGGUUUUGGAUGGACUCGCGGCCUAUCAGCUUGUUGGUGAGGUAAUGGCUCACCAAGGCGACGACGGGUAGCCGGCCUGAGAGGGUGACCGGCCACACUGGGACUGAGACACGGCCCAGACUCCUACGGGAGGCAGCAGUGGGGAAUAUUGCACAAUGGGCGAAAGCCUGAUGCAGCGACGCCGCGUGAGGGAUGACGGCCUUCGGGUUGUAAACCUCUUUCAGUAGGGAAGAAGCGAAAGUGACGGUACCUGCAGAAGAAGCACCGGCUAACUACGUG